AGGGCAGAAGAAAUCCGAUCCCAUCAGAAACAGCAGCACCAACAGCACGGAGGAAAACGGCGCUCCGCAGUGACAUUGGCUGGCCAGUCUGUUGAUGAUGAUGUUGUAAUGAGUGUUGGGGUUUAAACCUAACAUUUAAAUGGUCCUUUCGAGCCGGAGUCCAAGAUACCUGACGAUCCUAGCGGGUGAGAGAGAUCCAGGUAAAACUCCGUGGCCACGGUAAAAAGACCUUUUCCGGGACUGGUUCUCCCUGGCAAGCUGGGAUCCAAGGGUUGACGGAACUCCAAAGACGCAGAGAAGUGUGAGUAAAUCUUAUGAUUAAAAAGAGGGAUGAAUGACAAAAGAAUAAAAUAGUAAAACCCUGACAAUUCUAGACACUAUCAGGUACAAGAGAAGAAUACAGUUAAAUUCCGCAGGAGGGUAGACUCCCUUAGUUGAAAUAGACUAAUUAAAUUCUACGUUAAGGACGGCGGAGUCCUCUGUUAGGAAACUAAUAAAAGGAGCGAGCGAGUGUGAGAGUGGAAAAAUAGCCACCACUAGGUGACUGUUUUUCAUAUAAAUUAAACAAGGAACAAAUGGUGAGCCGUUGCGGAUGCAUGUAGGCAAGAAAAUUCCACCUUAACGGGUUGAAGUGAAUUUUACCGCAACAGGUUAGUUGAUCACCAUCUUGUUUAAAAGGUAUUUCCAGUAUUUAGAACACACCAGGUGUUAAAACCAUACUGGAACUAAAAGUCGCCUAAAAAUGGGUAAGGGACAAAGUAAAGAAAAACAAAAGUUACUUGAUAAUUUAUCAUGCAAAGAUUGGAAAGUAGUAGAAAAG
Girardinichthys multiradiatus is the source of this 820-nucleotide long non-coding RNA. RefSeq lists it as uncharacterized. The record is from RefSeq and is a predicted model, not a curated record. The transcript has 2 exons. Lineage: Eukaryota; Metazoa; Chordata; Actinopteri; Cyprinodontiformes; Goodeidae.